Rhincodon typus (whale shark) is the source of this 1792-nucleotide long non-coding RNA. RefSeq lists it as uncharacterized. The transcript has 3 exons. The record is from RefSeq and is a predicted model, not a curated record. NCBI's taxonomy places the organism in Eukaryota, Metazoa, Chordata, Chondrichthyes, Orectolobiformes, Rhincodontidae.
GCAGGCAGACUUCGACCCUGCACGCUAACCUGAGGAAACUCUUCGAAUCCACAGGGACCUCGACCUGUCCGAGUUCCUCAUUAACCCCAAGGCGAGGAAUUCCAAGUACGACCUCAUCGCCGUUUCUAACCACUACGGAAGUCUUCGUGACGGCCACUAUACCACCAUCGCGAGGAACAAGGAUGAUGGACACUGGUAUUACUUUGAUGACAGUAAGGUGACCUUCGCUUCUGCAGAGCACAUUGUGAGUAGCGCCGCCUACGUCCUGUUUUACCAACUGCAGGAGAAGGUGCAGCAGAGGGCCCCUGGGGGCGUGAGCCGCUCCCCGAGUGGGACCAGCCGCGACGCAGACCUCUCACCUCCAGGGGCUGCCGCUGUCGGGGAUUCGAUGGAGCUAGACUGAACUGAACCGGGCAGCGCCUCUCGACAGGACUGGAACCUCCUCCCUCCGCCAUCAUCCCCCUUCCUCCCCCCCCGCUGUUGCCCUGCGGAUUCGAGGAGGGAUUGGGAGGGGGUAUAACCUAUACACACCCCCUUCCCACAUCUCAUCCUAACCUCCUGCCAGACUUGGGAUCUGACUGUGCACUGCAAAUCGGAAAGACGCUGAUUUACCCCACCCCCACCCCUCAGAAUGACUCUGCUGCCAAUCCCCCUCUCCCCCCGCAACCAAUUUUUAAGCCUAUUUUAAGCUCUCUUCUGUCACUCCCUCCCCCCCCCACGACAAGGUUGAGGUAGCGGGUACGUGGCGGAGGAUGCGGGGAGGGUGCGGAGUUGGCUCUCUCCGUGCCGUCUCCCCUACCCCAAAAUCUAUGCACUUUUAGAUCCGGGAUUGCUGGCGAGAUCGUUGUUGGGGGGAGAGGAGGGGGAAGGGAUGAGUCAGCCCCGUCCUGCCUUGGCGGCCUACCAAGCAGCGGGAUCUUCCUGUGCUGCCAAUUUCCAUCCUGAAACUGAUCGAUUUAAUCUCAGGGAUUCGCUGAUCAAUGCAGUUACUGAAGCGGGUGACCAUUGCGUGGCUUCGAUUACUGUUCUGCUCACCCCGUUGACCUCGACGAGUGGGGGGGUGGGGUUAAUUAGAGCUAAUUCACACGCUCUUUUCCUCCCACCUCAUCCCCUACCACCCUCCCUCCAUUCCACCAGAGUCUCUCACACGUCCCUGAUGUAUGUGUGUGUGUUUCUUUUUAAGACAAAGAAAGUGGCCUUAUUGCUGGUUCAGUGUAACAGAACGAGGGUAGCCUCUGUCUCCCACUGUGAACUCUUUCACUCCCCCCCCCCCCCCCCCCCCGCCAACCGCAGAGGGUCAGGACGACUCAGAUUUAUUGGGAACGGGUAAGGAAUCCAUCUCUUCCCACCCUUUCACAGGAUGUGGUACCAAAUCACUGAAUGGUUAAAAAAAAGUGUGGGUGAGGGAAAUGAGAUAUUUGCUGGUGAAACUCAGCAGCUUUGUCUGGGGUGGGGUGGGGGGUGUUCCAGUGAGUCACGUUCAGACCUGGACUGACAAUGUUGACUGCUCUCUCUCUCUCUCUCUCUCUCCCUUCUCCAAUGCUCCAAGAGCAGCUGGGUUUUCCAGAUUAAUAGUGGGGAAUCUCUGCUCAGGGUGGCUGGGUACGUGGACCAUUCUCCAUUUUGCACGUGCUCUCUCUCGCUCUCUCUUCCCCACCCGCCAUCUGCGCAUCCGCCCGCUGUCUCUCUCCCCUCCCCCAUCUGCGCACCCGCCUACUCUGUCUCCCCCCUCCAUCUGCACAUCCGCCCGCUGUCUCUCUCCCCUGCCCCAUCUGCGCACCCACCUACUCUC